GACGAACGCUGGCGGCGUGCCUAAUACAUGCAAGUUGAGCGCUGAAGGUUGGUACUUGUACCGACUGGAUGAGCAGCGAACGGGUGAGUAACGCGUGGGGAAUCUGCCUUUGAGCGGGGGACAACAUUUGGAAACGAAUGCUAAUACCGCAUAAAAACUUUAAACACAAGUUUUAAGAUUGAAAGAUGCAAUUGCAUCACUCAAAGAUGAUCCCGCGUUGUAUUAGCUAGUUGGUGAGGUAAAGGCUCACCAAGGCGAUGAUACAUAGCCGACCUGAGAGGGUGAUCGGCCACAUUGGGACCUGGACACGGCCCAAACUCCUACGGGAGGCAGCAGUAGGGAAUCUUCGGCAAUGGACGAAAGUCUGACCGAGCAACGCCGCGUGAGUGAAGAAGGGUUUCGGAUCGGAAAACUCUGUUGGUAGAGAAGAACGUUGGUGAGAGUGGAAAGCUCAUCAAGUGACGGUAACUACCCAGAAAGGGACGGCUAACUACGUG
This 497-nucleotide ribosomal RNA is filed under the name uncultured bacterium. RNAcentral describes it as "partial 16S ribosomal RNA". It matches the Rfam family "Bacterial small subunit ribosomal RNA", at positions 28 to 507 of the family's 1533-position model. The record is from RNAcentral.